This 435-nucleotide ribosomal RNA is filed under the name uncultured bacterium. RNAcentral's name for it is "partial 16S ribosomal RNA". It matches the Rfam family "Bacterial small subunit ribosomal RNA", at positions 29 to 507 of the family's 1533-position model. The record is from RNAcentral.
AACGAACGCUGGCGGCAUGCCUAACACAUGCAAGUCGAACGAUUGCCUUCGGGUGAUAGUGGCGCACGGGUGCGUAACGCGUGGGAAUCUGCCCUUAGGUUCGGAAUAACAGCUGGAAACGGCUGCUAAUACCGGAUGAUAUCGCGAGAUCAAAGAUUUAUCGCCUGAGGAUGAGCCCGCGUUGGAUUAGGUAGUUGGUGGGGUAAAGGCCUACCAAGCCGACGAUCCAUAGCUGGUCUGAGAGGAUGAUCAGCCACACUGGGACUGAGACACGGCCAAGACUCCUACGGGAGGCAGCAGUGGGGAAUAUUGGACAAUGGGCGCAAGCCUGAUCCAGCAAUGCCGCGUGAGUGAUGAAGGCCCUAGGGUUGUAAAGCUCUUUUACCCGGGAAGAUAAUGACUGUACCGGGAGAAUAAGCCCCGGCUAACUCCGUG